AUGGGAUUUUGUUCCAUGCUGACCAGCCCUAACAUAAACCGAACAUUUUACUUUAACACAUUUUUUCUUUCCUAUACAGCAAAAACAACAAUGAAAACAGAAAAAACAGCAACAACAAAACCAACACCACUUAUGACACAACCGUCUUCUACUGUGACUGCUACCACUACGGCUGCGUCUUCUACUUCUAAAGCUCUGUAUUUCAGUCUGGCGGCAGGAAUCUGUGGUUUCAUCUUCCUGAUUAUCAUCAUCGUCUUUGUCACCUGGAGAUGCAGAUUAAAGAAACAUGAAGCUGACAAACAGUUCCAUGCCUAUGAUGAGGUGUCAGAUGGGAUAGAACUUCAAUACACAUAUGGUGAGGAAUGGAAACUGGCAUCAUACCACAAAUGCAAAUCUGUUGUAGUUUUUUUUAUUAUGUUUUUGUUUAAAUAACUUUGUAUUUUAUUAGAUGUGUCAAAUCAAGAUGAUCAUACAUAUUCAACUAUAGCUGAUCUACCCGUAAACAAAUGUGAAACAGGUAAAUUACAUGGCUUUUGUCUUUUGGGUUCAGAUUUUAGUGUGAAUUAUUGUUUUAGCCUUGGCUCAGUUGGAAAUUCUUUUUAUUAUGAUAAUGUAGGUUUAGGUGCAUUUGACGGGAAGAUCUGUUAUAAAAUACUUGGUAAAAGUUUGUCUCACAUGCACGUAUUCAGCUUCUGUAACUUCUCCCUACAGACAGCCCAUAUUCCUUGGCUGGUCCUGCUACCUGCUAUUUAAACAAUAAAGGUAACUAAGUAUUUCACCUUGUAUUCAAUCUGACACUGAAAAUGUUUCAUAUGAACUUAAAUCUUUUAUGACAUCCAAAAAAGGUCAUUCAUGUGUAUUUUAGCUCACAGUGAAUUUAAAUAUGUGAAAUAAUCACAAUUAAAAAUAUUUUAUAUUUUUUAAAUAAUAUAUAUAUAUUAUAUAUUAUUAUAAUAUAUAAUUUAUAUUCCAUAACGGUUACCUGCAUAUACAUUUUUUUAUUUACAGAUUCAAUGGGAGACAAAACAUAUUUCUUGUUGGAAAAACCCAAAGCACCAGAAGAACUAUAAUAACCAACUUUUGCACUUUUGUUUAACAGAAUCUUCCAUAUACAUACAUACAUACAUAUAUAUAAUAUAUAUAUA
RNAcentral lists this long non-coding RNA (1145 nucleotides) under Nothobranchius furzeri (turquoise killifish). Its description in RNAcentral is "lncRNA (ENSNFUG00015014590.1)". The record is from RNAcentral. Lineage: Eukaryota; Metazoa; Chordata; Actinopteri; Cyprinodontiformes; Nothobranchiidae.